UACAGAGGUGGCAAGCGUUGUUCGGAAUUACUGGGCGUAAAGGGCGAGUAGGCGGCCUUCUAAGUCAGACGUGAAAUCCCCCGGCUUAACCUGGGAACUGCGUCUGAUACUGGGAGGCUUGAGUAUGGGAGAGGGAGGUAGAAUUCCAGGUGUAGCGGUGAAAUGCGUAGAUAUCUGGAGGAAUACCGGUGGCGAAGGCGGCCUCCUGGACCAUAACUGACGCUGAUCCGCGAAAGCUAGGGGAGCAAACGGG
This 253-nucleotide ribosomal RNA is filed under the name uncultured bacterium. Its description in RNAcentral is "partial 16S ribosomal RNA". It matches the Rfam family "Bacterial small subunit ribosomal RNA", at positions 524 to 776 of the family's 1533-position model. The record is from RNAcentral.